AGCGAACGCUGGCGGCAGGCUUAACACAUGCAAGUCGAGCGGGCAUCCUUGUGGUGUCGGCGGCAGACGGGUGAGUAACGCGUGGGAACGUGCCCUUCGGUUCGGAAUAACUCAGGGAAACUUGAGCUAAUACCGGAUACGUGCGAGAGCAGAAAGGUUUAUCUGCCGAAGGAUCGGCCCGCGUCUGAUUAGCUAGUUGGUGAGGUUAUGGCUCACCAAGGCGACGAUCAGUAGCUGGUCUGAGAGGAUGAUCAGCCACACUGGGACUGAGACACGGCCCAGACUCCUACGGGAGGCAGCAGUGGGGAAUAUUGGACAAUGGGGGCAACCCUGAUCCAGCCAUGCCGCGUGAGUGAUGACGGCCUUAGGGUUGUAAAGCUCUUUUCUCCGGGACGAUAAUGACGGUACCGGAGGAAUAAGCCCCGGCUAACCUCGUG
Molecule: ribosomal RNA, 437 nt
Filed under: uncultured bacterium
Lineage: Bacteria
Description: partial 16S ribosomal RNA
Rfam family: Bacterial small subunit ribosomal RNA
Source: RNAcentral